CUCUAUAUCACAGUCAUGGUUACCAUAUACAGUCACGAACUCUUAUAUCAGUCUGCAUUGUUUUGUAGCGAAAUUUCUUAUCCAGAUGUUCAUAAACGUGCAUGGUUUGAAAUAAAACAAAUCUACCUGCAUUUUUUAAAAAUUAGUUUGCAAAAAAUAAAACGAAGCAAUGCCUUCUGGGAAUUUCGAGACUGACUCGAGUGGACCGUCUGCGGGGUUGUUGAAAGUUAGAAGUUGGAAGUUGGAAGUUGACUGAGAUUAAUCUAGCAAAAAUUUGAAUCAAGGCAUCAAGUGACACAAGGAGGGGAGCGGAGAAAAGAGAGGGAAAUCUCAGAGAGCACUGUUGGCUGACGUCGAAAAAUGCUGCUAACUGACUGAGUGGUUUUUAAAAUCAAGUGCAGCUUGAGCUAGCACUAGCGCUAAUACUGCUAGCACUAAUGUUAGCGACACAGCUGAGCCAGAACACCUGGGAGAGAGACAGGACAGUGAGGAAUAUGAGCCAGAGGAGGAUGAAGAGGUGGACAUGGAGAACUGCGUGAAGCUGCGAAAUUGCUCAUCCUUUUAAAAAGAAAUCCAUCAGUGCCUUGGAGAGAGGGAACGUGAAUCGUAUGCGGGAAAGAGGGAGCAGGCGCAUCUCAGAUUUUCAUCCACGACAUCAGUGAUCCUCUCUGAAUUCCUCAACAUGGCAUAAUCCCCAGCCAGCGGGGAAAUGUGAGAAACUUUGCAAAGUAAUUUACACUCUAAUGUCUAUUUUCCCCAAGAACAGCAAUGGGACGCAAUUUAAGGAUAGCACUCACAUAUUCCUUAUUUUUCUAAGAUAAUACCAAGAGGCUUAUGUUGAGUUCAAUCAACUUAUUGUUUUUUUUCCCUUGAACAGUCAUGCUCAGAAUAGACAAGUAACAUCAGGCUGAAUGAAUGGUUUCCUACUUUCGAAGUUGUUCUGCGUGCAAUCAAAAGUUUGAAACGCACUCUGAGAAGUAUCAGGCAAUCAGUUUCUGAUAAAUAUAGAUAUUUACAGAUGCCGGCUGUUUUUCAUGUAAUUUGUCGCAGGAAGUCUGUGUGAUUGCCUCUCAUGAGGGAAGGAUCACGCUGUCUGUCAGAUUGGUGGGGAUGGCCGGGUUGGAUUGUCAGAAGCCUGCGGCCUGAGCCAAAAAGAAAAUGGCUAAACCAAGGUAAAGCUACUUUGUCAAGAUAAGUCUAUCAAGGGGACACAAUACACCUCUUUUGUUUGUAACCUCUCAUGCCCCACAGUGGAAGGGCCUCAAUAAAUCAUGUGGCAAAGUGAUAGUGGUAGGAGUCUGAUGGAGGGAGUUGAAGGGGCACAGAGAGUUGAAGGUUCCACAUGAUGGCAGAUUGAUUUAUCUUGUAGUCACUUAUGUUUUGGAGGACAAAGCAGUGAGGACGAUAGAACAACUCUAGGUGCGUGGACUGGAUCAUUAUAGGAGUCUUCCUGCGCCUCAUGAGAGCAAUGAUCUUAAUCUCUGAGGCACUAGAGGAUACACUUAAGGGGCGUGCCCUUGGCUCAUUGAAGUCUCAAUUUGAAUCUCAAACAGCUCUCCAGCAGGAAUGACACGUCUUACGC
Acanthopagrus latus (yellowfin seabream) is the source of this 1582-nucleotide long non-coding RNA. RefSeq lists it as uncharacterized. The record is from RefSeq and is a predicted model, not a curated record. Lineage: Eukaryota; Metazoa; Chordata; Actinopteri; Spariformes; Sparidae. The transcript is spliced from 3 exons.